GCGCCCGUAGCUCAGUGGAUAGAGCGCUUGACUACGAAUCAAGAGGCCAGAGGUUCAAGUCCUCUCGGGCGCACCA
RNAcentral lists this transfer RNA (76 nucleotides) under Bacillota bacterium. RNAcentral's name for it is "tRNA-Arg". It matches the Rfam family "tRNA". Rfam says of the family: Transfer RNA (tRNA) molecules are approximately 80 nucleotides in length. The record is from RNAcentral. Lineage: Bacteria; Bacillati; Bacillota.